This 1224-nucleotide ribosomal RNA is filed under the name Bacillus sp. (in: firmicutes). RNAcentral's name for it is "bacterial SSU rRNA". It matches the Rfam family "Bacterial small subunit ribosomal RNA", at positions 131 to 1342 of the family's 1533-position model. Lineage: Bacteria; Bacillati; Bacillota; Bacilli; Caryophanales; Bacillaceae. The record is from RNAcentral.
UGUAAGACUGGGAUAACUCCGGGAAACCGGAGCUAAUACCGGAUAGUUCCUUGAACCGCAUGGUUCAAGGAUGAAAGACGGUUUCGGCUGUCACUUACAGAUGGACCCGCGGCGCAUUAGCUAGUUGGUGAGGUAACGGCUCACCAAGGCGACGAUGCGUAGCCGACCUGAGAGGGUGAUCGGCCACACUGGGACUGAGACACGGCCCAGACUCCUACGGGAGGCAGCAGUAGGGAAUCUUCCGCAAUGGACGAAAGUCUGACGGAGCAACGCCGCGUGAGUGAUGAAGGUUUUCGGAUCGUAAAGCUCUGUUGUUAGGGAAGAACAAGUGCAAGAGUAACUGCUUGCACCUUGACGGUACCUAACCAGAAAGCCACGGCUAACUACGUGCCAGCAGCCGCGGUAAUACGUAGGUGGCAAGCGUUGUCCGGAAUUAUUGGGCGUAAAGGGCUCGCAGGCGGUUUCUUAAGUCUGAUGUGAAAGCCCCCGGCUCAACCGGGGAGGGUCAUUGGAAACUGGGAAACUUGAGUGCAGAAGAGGAGAGUGGAAUUCCACGUGUAGCGGUGAAAUGCGUAGAGAUGUGGAGGAACACCAGUGGCGAAGGCGACUCUCUGGUCUGUAACUGACGCUGAGGAGCGAAAGCGUGGGGAGCGAACAGGAUUAGAUACCCUGGUAGUCCACGCCGUAAACGAUGAGUGCUAAGUGUUAGGGGGUUUCCGCCCCUUAGUGCUGCAGCUAACGCAUUAAGCACUCCGCCUGGGGAGUACGGUCGCAAGACUGAAACUCAAAGGAAUUGACGGGGGCCCGCACAAGCGGUGGAGCAUGUGGUUUAAUUCGAAGCAACGCGAAGAACCUUACCAGGUCUUGACAUCCUCUGACAACCCUAGAGAUAGGGCUUUCCCUUCGGGGACAGAGUGACAGGUGGUGCAUGGUUGUCGUCAGCUCGUGUCGUGAGAUGUUGGGUUAAGUCCCGCAACGAGCGCAACCCUUGAUCUUAGUUGCCAGCAUUCAGUUGGGCACUCUAAGGUGACUGCCGGUGACAAACCGGAGGAAGGUGGGGAUGACGUCAAAUCAUCAUGCCCCUUAUGACCUGGGCUACACACGUGCUACAAUGGACAGAACAAAGGGCUGCGAGACCGCAAGGUUUAGCCAAUCCCACAAAUCUGUUCUCAGUUCGGAUCGCAGUCUGCAACUCGACUGCGUGAAGCUGGAAUCGCUAGUAAU